AACGAACGCUGGCGGCAUGCCUAACACAUGCAAGUCGAACGAGACCUUCGGGUCUAGUGGCGCACGGGUGCGUAACGCGUGGGAACCUGCCCUUAGGUUCGGAAUAACUCCCCGAAAGGGGUGCUAAUACCGGAUAAUGUCUUCGGACCAAAGAUUUAUCGCCUUUGGAUGGGCCCGCGUUGGAUUAGCUAGUUGGUAGGGUAAAAGCCUACCAAGGCGACGAUCCAUAGCUGGUCUGAGAGGAUGAUCAGCCACACUGGGACUGAGACACGGCCCAGACUACUACGGGAGGCAGCAGUGGGAAAUAGUGGACAAUGGGCGAAAGCCUGAUCCAGCAAUGCCGCGUGAGUGAUGAAGGCCUUAGGGUUGUAAAGCUCUUUUAACCGGGAUGAUAAUGACAGUACCGGGAGAAUAAGCUCCGGCUAACUCCGUG
This 433-nucleotide ribosomal RNA is filed under the name uncultured bacterium. Its description in RNAcentral is "partial 16S ribosomal RNA". It matches the Rfam family "Bacterial small subunit ribosomal RNA", at positions 29 to 507 of the family's 1533-position model. The record is from RNAcentral.